RNAcentral lists this long non-coding RNA (2340 nucleotides) under Homo sapiens (human). RNAcentral describes it as "non-protein coding lnc-COMMD10-10:4". Lineage: Eukaryota; Metazoa; Chordata; Mammalia; Primates; Hominidae. The record is from RNAcentral.
GGGCAGCGGAGCCGGUGAAGGAAGCCGCAGGCGCGGAUGGAGGCGAAGAGAUCAGGAGCAGUAAAGGAACACUCUCUUCCCCAGUCAGCUGGGAUACGGAUUUUGUAAGGCCUAGGGACUUUGUCUUUGGAGGUCCUGUCUCCAUAAGGCUUCCCAAAACAAAGAAUGUUCAGAUUGGACUGGCCUUAAAAUGCAGUAUUUAAAACAGCAACAUGUCUGACAGAUCCGAGAAAUGAAAUACGUCCAUUUCUUUUGGCAAGGAGCAGAAGGCAACAUAAAGCAGCUGCAAGAAUUAAUUCAUGGAGAUAGUUGACAUUUUCGAGCUGACUGCCUCUUAGAGAAAAUGAUGUCAUUCUCCAGCAGCCUAAUGACAGUCAUCAGCCUGAGAGGACACAUGCUAAUAAGACUAUCACCAGCAAAGAAUUUUCUGAGCAAAUGUGUACUGGAGACCUUCUGAGGAACCCACUAGAGCCUGCACAUCCCCUUUUCCUAGCAAGGUCAACUGGAAAACAGUGUUCUUUCCAAGAUAACGUGCAACUUUCCUUUGGAAUGAUCAGCAGAAUGUCAAAUAAGGAAAGGACAUGUAGAGUUCAUGGGAGGAGACAUUACUUCUGGCUGCAGAAUUAUGGAGGCUUUAUGGGAGACGCCGUAUAUUUUAUCUGUGCGCCUUGAUCACGUGUCUGACCAUGGACAGAGAAACCAGCCUAAUGAGCCUUCUUUACAGGUCUUACUGCCUAUUAGAGCAAAGGAAGAGGAAAUCUUUGGCUAACCGGUCAGAGAAAACAACUGGAUUAAACAAGAUACUCUUCAUGACUGUGGUUGCAAAAAUGCAACACAACUUUUAAAAAUCUUAGUACUAAUUUUUAAAAAUGGCUUUUAAUUUGGGGGAGACUCGAUAACAGAACCCGAAAAUCUGAUGAAUUGUAUGAACAUUUUGUUCAGAAAAAUAAACAUAUAUUACCAGAAAAUUUCAUAUGUGAUUCAAGAAGUCCACAGAAGUUCCAUGUUGUAAGUAAUUAGAAAAUAAGAAUUCUGAAUUGUUAAAAUAAAAUUUAAUGUUCAACAUCAUUCAUCCAGGAAGUGGAAUUUUCCCUCUGUUAAUCAUAGAAAGAAAUGCUCUCAAAUUUAGGUGGAAAUAAAAUAUUUGUUGUUGGAAAUGUAUAUACUUCUGCUGCUUUUAAAAUUCCAGGCUUCAUCCAUAUUCAAAAUGCAAAAUAUUAUUAAAAUAAUCAGAGCUUUGACUUUGGAAAAGUCUGAAAUUGCACCUUGGCAACACUGGAUCUACUCCUGUCACUCCCCAAGUGGUGGUCCUUAAGUGUUAGUGUGCUUGAGAAUUAACUACAGAGAUUGUCUAAAAUUACCAGUUUCUAGGAUGAGCCCACCAAUCUGUGUUUUAACAGGAGCUCCAGAAAAUUCUCUGUUCUUCUGACCAUAUUUUGAAUAUUGAUAUGAAACUACUGAUGAACCUCUUGGUUCAUGGUUUUUUCCUAUACUACUCUCUAUCUUUUAAUUUGCCUCUAGCACUCUAUUUAUUUCUUUUCUAUUUAAACGUGUCUCCAAAUCUCUGAGAGUGUAAUUUUUCUGUUUUCUUAUGCUUUCUUUUCUUUCUUCCUUUUUUUUUUUUUUUGAGACGGAGUCUCGCUCUGUUGCCCAGGCUGGGGUAUAGUGGCGCGAUCUUGGCUCACUGCAACCUCUGCCUCCCAGGUUCACGCCAUUCUCCUGCCUCAGCCUCCCAGGUAGCUGGAACUACAGGCGCCCACCACCACGCCUGGCUAAUUUUUUGUAUUUUUAGUGGAGACGGGGUUUCACCGUGUUAGCCGGGAUGGUCUCGAUCUCCUGACCUCGUGAUCCGCCUGCCUCAGCAUCCCAAAGUGCUGGGAUUACAGGGCGUGAGCCACUGCACCCGGCCUCUUAUGCUUUAUUUUCUAUUUCUAGUAAUAUAAUCCUUCUUCCAUUGUGUUAUUUUCUCUGACUUUCUCCCCUCCCUCUUCUUCCUUUUAAAAGUUCAAUGAACUUUUUAAAAUUUAAAACACAAAUGGGUGAAGAAUUUUACAUUUCUCUUUCUUUAAAAGUGACAAAAGUUAGGUUACUUUUUCACUGAUGCAUUCAUUUAUUUUUUGUUUUUCUACUCUCUUAUUUAUAUAUCCCUAGUUCAGGGAUUACUGAAAAAAGAAAACAAAGAAGAGUUCAAGAUGCCUGUAGAUCAGGAAAAAGACAAGGUUAUAGUCUUUUAUAAUUUGCUCCAGAGGAAGCUGUGAACAUCUACUGAAAACUGACAGAUUUCACUCCUUUUUCUUAUCAGAGAAAAAUAAAAGCAAAGUAGAUUUGUUUCUUUAGGAA